UUAAGCGACUAAGCGUACACGGUGGAUGCCCUGGCAGUCAGAGGCGAUGAAGGACGUGCUAAUCUGCGAUAAGCGUCGGUAAGGUGAUAUGAACCGUUAUAACCGGCGAUUUCCGAAUGGGGAAACCCAGUGUGUUUCGACACACUAUCAUUAACUGAAUCCAUAGGUUAAUGAGGCGAACCGGGGGAACUGAAACAUCUAAGUACCCCGAGGAAAAGAAAUCAACCGAGAUUCCCCCAGUAGCGGCGAGCGAACGGGGAGCAGCCCAGAGCCUGAAUCAGUGUGUGUGUUAGUGGAAGCGUCUGGAAAGGCGCGCGAUACAGGGUGACAGCCCCGUACACAAAAAUGCACAUGCUGUGAGCUCGAUGAGUAGGGCGGGACACGUGGUAUCCUGUCUGAAUAUGGGGGGACCAUCCUCCAAGGCUAAAUACUCCUGACUGACCGAUAGUGAACCAGUACCGUGAGGGAAAGGCGAAAAGAACCCCGGCGAGGGGAGUGAAAAAGAACCUGAAACCGUGUACGUACAAGCAGUGGGAGCACGCUUAGGCGUGUGACUGCGUACCUUUUGUAUAAUGGGUCAGCGACUUAUAUUCUGUAGCAAGGUUAACCGAAUAGGGGAGCCGAAGGGAAACCGAGUCUUAACUGGGCGUUAAGUUGCAGGGUAUAGACCCGAAACCCGGUGAUCUAGCCAUGGGCAGGUUGAAGGUUGGGUAACACUAACUGGAGGACCGAACCGACUAAUGUUGAAAAAUUAGCGGAUGACUUGUGGCUGGGGGUGAAAGGCCAAUCAAACCGGGAGAUAGCUGGUUCUCCCCGAAAGCUAUUUAGGUAGCGCCUCGUGAAUUCAUCUCCGGGGGUAGAGCACUGUUUCGGCAAGGGGGUCAUCCCGACUUACCAACCCGAUGCAAACUGCGAAUACCGGAGAAUGUUAUCACGGGAGACACACGGCGGGUGCUAACGUCCGUCGUGAAGAGGGAAACAACCCAGACCGCCAGCUAAGGUCCCAAAGUCAUGGUUAAGUGGGAAACGAUGUGGGAAGGCCCAGACAGCCAGGAUGUUGGCUUAGAAGCAGCCAUCAUUUAAAGAAAGCGUAAUAGCUCACUGGUCGAGUCGGCCUGCGCGGAAGAUGUAACGGGGCUAAACCAUGCACCGAAGCUGCGGCAGCGACGCUGAUGCGUUGUUGGGUAGGGGAGCGUUCUGUAAGCCUGCGAAGGUGUGCUGUGAGGCAUGCUGGAGGUAUCAGAAGUGCGAAUGCUGACAUAAGUAACGAUAAAGCGGGUGAAAAGCCCGCUCGCCGGAAGACCAAGGGUUCCUGUCCAACGUUAAUCGGGGCAGGGUGAGUCGACCCCUAAGGCGAGGCCGAAAGGCGUAGUCGAUGGGAAACAGGUUAAUAUUCCUGUACUUGGUGUUACUGCGAAGGGGGGACGGAGAAGGCUAUGUUGGCCGGGCGACGGUUGUCCCGGUUUAAGCGUGUAGGCUGGUUUUCCAGGCAAAUCCGGAAAAUCAAGGCUGAGGCGUGAUGACGAGGCACUACGGUGCUGAAGCAACAAAUGCCCUGCUUCCAGGAAAAGCCUCUAAGCAUCAGGUAACAUCAAAUCGUACCCCAAACCGACACAGGUGGUCAGGUAGAGAAUACCAAGGCGCUUGAGAGAACUCGGGUGAAGGAACUAGGCAAAAUGGUGCCGUAACUUCGGGAGAAGGCACGCUGAUAUGUAGGUGAAGUCCCUCGCGGAUGGAGCUGAAAUCAGUCGAAGAUACCAGCUGGCUGCAACUGUUUAUUAAAAACACAGCACUGUGCAAACACGAAAGUGGACGUAUACGGUGUGACGCCUGCCCGGUGCCGGAAGGUUAAUUGAUGGGGUUAGCCGCAAGGCGAAGCUCUUGAUCGAAGCCCCGGUAAACGGCGGCCGUAACUAUAACGGUCCUAAGGUAGCGAAAUUCCUUGUCGGGUAAGUUCCGACCUGCACGAA
RNAcentral lists this ribosomal RNA (1970 nucleotides) under human gut metagenome. RNAcentral describes it as "bacterial LSU rRNA". It matches the Rfam family "Bacterial large subunit ribosomal RNA", at positions 1 to 1996 of the family's 2925-position model. The record is from RNAcentral.